Molecule: small nuclear RNA, 19 nt
Filed under: Arabidopsis thaliana (thale cress)
Lineage: Eukaryota; Viridiplantae; Streptophyta; Magnoliopsida; Brassicales; Brassicaceae
Description: snRNA_03608
Source: RNAcentral
CGGACGUCUUCGGCGUUCG